GACGAACGCUGGCGGCAUGCCUAAUACAUGCAAGUCGAGCGAACAGAUGAAGUGCUUGCACUUCUGACGUUAGCGGCGAACGGGUGAGUAACACGUAAGGAAUCUACCUAUAAGCGGGGGAUAACAUUCGGAAACGGGUGCUAAUACCGCAUAAUAUCUUCUUCCGCAUGGAAGAAGAUUGAAAGACGGCUCUGCUGUCACUUAUAGAUGACCUUGCGGUGCAUUAGUUAGUUGGUGGGGUAACGGCCUACCAAGACGAUGAUGCAUAGCCGAACUGAGAGGGUGAUCGGCAACAUUGGGACUGAGACACGGCCCAAACUACUACGGGAGGCAGCAGUAGGGCAUCUUCCGCAAUGGGCGAAAGCCUGACGGAGCAAUGCCGCGUGAGUGAAGAGGGCCUUCGGGUCGUAAAACUCUGUUAUAAGAGAAGAACAAAUUGUAGAGUAACUGCUACAGUCUUGACGGUAUCUUAUCAGAAAGCCACGGCUAACUACGUGCCAGCAGCCGCCGUAA
Molecule: ribosomal RNA, 513 nt
Filed under: uncultured bacterium
Lineage: Bacteria
Description: partial 16S ribosomal RNA
Rfam family: Bacterial small subunit ribosomal RNA
Source: RNAcentral